UUAGUGCAGUCCGAGCGCUUGCUCGCUCUCUCUCCCUCUCGCUCUCUGUCUCUCCCUCUCUCCCUCCCUCAAUCCCUCCAGAGCUCACUCCAACAAACAAACGGCACAGUGGACUGCCAUCAGCCCCUUCAUCCAAUUUGCCUCCAUCCAAAUGGUUCUUCUCACUGCAGCAGUACGGCUAUAUCAAGAGACAGUGAAACUAUGGGCAUAGUAGACAAAUGGUGAGGUUUCAAGGAGGAGAAAUGUAAACAACAUGGAAGAAAAAAAAAAAGUUUCAAAUAGAUAUGUGUAGAAGAAGAUCUGGGAAGACAAUAGAGACAGAGGCAGACACACAAGCCCGAAAGACAGCGCAUGUUUGUAUAGUCACACAGGAACGUCACCGAGGUCACGGCGGCUCCAUUUGUGGCACCGUGGCAACGGACGACUGAUUAGAGAUGCCAUCUGCAUGGCACUCCGAGUAGGACACAUUGUCCGACCGUGCAGUCGCAGUGAGUGAUCACCCUGUCGAAGCGUUAAUUACAAAACCAUUUCAACUUCCCACAGUGCUUUUCUCCUAAGGUUUAAAGUUCUACUCCGCGUGCCAAGGAAAACAGACUGUAAUGGACAUUUUCUGGCCGAGCAAUUAUGUGAAACGCCACUGCCCUCCAGUUUUUUUGUUUGUGACGGUUUUGUGGCACAGAAACCUCUGGUCUGGGGAAAAGUGCAAAAGUUCAGGCCAGCUUUCGUCUGCUGAUUUGUUUUUACUUGUCCAAGCGCUCCAAAAUAUCUCUGUAUCUCCCCAUAACAGCCCCCUCAAUUGUACAGAACUGCCCAGUUAAAUGUUAACUUUUAUGGCAACACACACUUAAAGACAUGACAUGAUAUAUUCUUUUGACCACUUUAUGGUGUGAAUUAGUGGUUUGAUGUCUUUUUUCUUUGUUUUGUUUUGUUUGGGUUUUUUGAAAGGUUGUCAGCUGGAGCUGCGCUACGUCGUGAUGAGAAUGAUAAGGGCCUGACGAGGAAACCGCGGCCGUUAUAUAGCCUAUAUAUAUAAACGUCCAUAUAGUAGAUCUCAUAAUGUAGAACUCGUUUUAGUGCGUCUUCUGUUUUGUGUGCUGUGCACUUCAAGUCAGACAUUUAAAUGCAAAAGAAGAUAUUCAUAAACAUUUCAAUAGAGUAUAUUGAUGCACAUUCUUUGUAUAUUGCAAAGGAACCAUCUGUUUACAUUGCCUGCUCUAUAUGCCAUUUUCCCAGCAAUUGCAUUAAUCCCUCGACGAUGGUGAGUUUGUUUUGACUUGAUAAAGUUUGGAUGACUUCCCCCAA
Molecule: long non-coding RNA, 1302 nt
Organism: Alosa sapidissima (American shad)
Lineage: Eukaryota; Metazoa; Chordata; Actinopteri; Clupeiformes; Clupeidae
Exons: 2
Source: RefSeq, a predicted model, not a curated record